ACCGUACUCCUACGGGAGGCAGCAGUGGGGAAUAUUGGACAAUGGGGGGAACCCUGAUCCAGCCAUGCCGCGUGUGUGAAGAAGGCCUUAUGGUUGUAAAGCACUGUAAGCGAGGAGGAGGCUCUCUUGGUUAAUACCCAAGAAGAGUGGACGUUACUCGCAGAAUAAGCACCGGCUAACUCUGUGCUAGCAGCCGCGGUAAUACAGAGGGUGCGAGCGUUAAUCGGAUUUACUGGGCGUAAAGCGUGCGUAGGCGGCUUUUUAAGUCGGAUGUGAAAUCCCCGAGCUUAACUUGGGAAUUGCAUUCGAUACUGGGAAGCUAGAGUAUGGGAGAGGAUGGUAGAAUUCCAGGUGUAGCGGUGAAAUGCGUAGAGAUCUGGAGGAAUACCGAUGGCGAAGGCAGCCAUCUGGCCUAAUACUGACGCUGAGGUACGAAAGCAUGGGGAGCAAACAGGAUUAGAUACCCCAGUAGUCCUUGAC
Molecule: ribosomal RNA, 480 nt
Filed under: uncultured bacterium
Lineage: Bacteria
Description: bacterial SSU rRNA
Rfam family: Bacterial small subunit ribosomal RNA
Source: RNAcentral